UACGUAGGGUGCGAGCGUUGUCCGAAAUUACUGGGCGUAAAGAGCUCGUAGGUGGUUUGUCGCGUUGUUCGUGAAAACCGGGGGCUUAACCCUCGGCGUGCGGGCGAUACGGGCAGACUUGAGUACUGCAGGGGAGACUGGAAUUCCUGGUGUAGCGGUGGAAUGCGCAGAUAUCAGGAGGAACACCGGUGGCGAAGGCGGGUCUCUGGGCAGUAACUGACGCUGAGGAGCGAAAGCGUGGGGAGCGAACAGG
RNAcentral lists this ribosomal RNA (253 nucleotides) under uncultured bacterium. Its description in RNAcentral is "partial 16S ribosomal RNA". It matches the Rfam family "Bacterial small subunit ribosomal RNA", at positions 524 to 776 of the family's 1533-position model. The record is from RNAcentral.